UAAAGGAGAGAUCCGGCAUAGGAUGGACAUGCGUCGCAUUAGGUAGACGGCGGGGUAACGGCCCACCGUGCCGACGAUGCGUAGGGGUUCUGAGAGGAAGGCCCCCCACACUGGUAUUGAGACACGGACCAGACUCCUACGGGAGGCAGCAGUGAGGAAUAUUGGUCAAUGGCCGAGAGGCUGAACCAGCCAAGUCGCGUGAGGGAAGAAUGUCCUAAGGAUUGUAAACCUCUUUUGUCGGGGAGCAAAAAGGCUCUGCGGAGUCGUAUUGAGAGUACCCGAAGAAAAAGCAUCGGCUAACUCCGUGCCAGCAGCCGCGGUAAUACGGAGGAUGCGAGCGUUAUCCGGAUUUAUUGGGUUUAAAGGGUGCGCAGGCGGCGUGUCAAGCAAGCGGUAAAAUAGCGGGGCUCAACCCCGUCGAGCCGUUUGAACUGGCGCGCUUGAGUUCAGGCGAGGUAGGCGGAAUUCGUGGUGUAGCGGUGAAAUGCAUAGAUAUCACGAAGAACUCCGAUUGCGAAGGCAGCUUACCAGUCUGCGACUGACGCUCAGGCACGAAAGUGUGGGUAUCGAACAGGAUUAGAUAUCCUGGUAGUCCACACAGUAAACGAUGAGCGCUAGGUGUCCGGGUCGCAUGAGACUUGG
This 642-nucleotide ribosomal RNA is filed under the name uncultured bacterium. Its description in RNAcentral is "bacterial SSU rRNA". It matches the Rfam family "Bacterial small subunit ribosomal RNA", at positions 202 to 842 of the family's 1533-position model. The record is from RNAcentral.